GUGAGGAGGGGUAGGGAUGGAAGAGGAUUGAGGAGAGUUAGGGACGAGCACUACAGGACACCUUAGUAUACAAAGUGCAGGGGCAAUACUUUCUACGACAAAAUAAAAAGUUACAGACUGCAGCUUUAACAUGCACUUUUCCAGUGUUUUACUGUUCAAAUAAGAUAUUUUUUACAGAACAUUUUCAGGAAAAAAAGAGACAAGACACAUUGUAAUGGAUAAUUUGUCUCCAGCACGUGGGGGCAGCAGUCCCAAGAGAAGACCCUGCUUCUGCGAGGCGCUGCCCAUUAGCCACUAUUUAUUUACAAUUCACAAAGUAAUACAGGAAGAAGUUUCUCUUUCAAUACAGAUCAAUCCUCUUCUCUAGCUUUUCCUCAUUUUCAUCACAUCAGAUUCACCCAUCCCCCGUUCUUUCAGUCUUUGGUUUCCACUCCCAAACAUGGCAUACAGCAGGAAACACUCCUACAUUCAGUUAUCUUUUCUCUCAGCAACUCCUUUAAAGGGGAAGUUCAGUAUUUUAGGAGCUAGCGGUUGGCUAACGUUUGUAGCGGUUGUUUAAAAAGCCCUGAAGCAUUGAUACGUUUCUUCUGGCCCCAUAGACUACUUUCAGGAUGAGAAACCAUCUGACAAAGUUGGAAAAUAGUGAACUUCCCCUUUAAGUUAACUGUUAACAUAUUCAAAACGUUGUUCGCUACUUGUGUAUUCAGUAUGUUGUAGUAUGUUGUUUCUACCUAUAGGUUCUAUAGGGUGCCGUUCUGGGUGGCAGUUUCUACCUAUAGGUUCUAUAGGGUGCCGUUCUGGGUGGCAGUUGGUUAGUCCCCUAACUUCCCCCCCAAAAUGCCAAGUCUUUCCAACAGGUCAUUGUUGGGGAUUCAGGAUGCUCUGCUUUCCCCCCUACUGAUUACAGGAACAUUCCUGGAUAAACUGAGAAGUUCCCAGAAUUUUUCAACCAUAAUAAUGAAGGAACCUAUAUAUUAAAUCUUCACUUAUCAGGUCGGUUCCAGAACACUUGGCUGAAACUCUACUCCUUUACAGAUAGAAUGGAGUUGAUCUAGGAUAAGAGUAGUCCUACUCACACAUGUUCUUCUCUGUGAUCAUAUGGCUUCAGAAAUGAAGGGUCCAGCAGGACUUUGUAUUUGUGCGUUUGACUCAUGGCGGCUGAUUCGAAGGCCGUGUGUACGUAGUAAAUGUUGCUAAAAGUUACCAUAGUAUAAGUAACCACAUGUGUAUAAGUUACUAUUUAAAUGAUUAGUUACCAUAGGAUAAGUAACUACAUGUAUGUAAGUUACUAUUUAAAUGAUUAGUCACCACACAUAACUGUAAAUGACUAUAAGUGCUAGAAAGUGGUGCGUGGUUAGAAGGUUCCGUCCCAAAUGGCACCGUAUUCCCUAUAUAGUGCGCUACUUUUGACCAGAUCCAUAUGAGCCGUGAUCAAAAGUAUUACACUAUAUAGGGUCCAAGAUGUCAUUUGGGACACUACACGCACUCUCAAGGGAAAGGUCUUCUGCUCCCUGUGGGUCCUGGCCAAAAGUAGUGCACUAUAAAGGGGAAUAGGGUGCCAUCUGAAACAAAGCCCAUAAAUCUCAACAGUCUGGUAGACUAGAGGUGUAGCACACCUUCCGACCUUCCUCAGAGGUGCUGUCCCAAAUGGCACAUUAUUCUCUAUAUGGUGUCCUAGCGCUUUGCACUCAGUGAUCUAGCGCUUUGCACUCAGUGAUCUAGCGCUCUGCACUCAGUGAUCUAGCGCUCUGCACUCAGUGAUCUAGCGCUCUGCACUCAGUGAUCUAGCGCUUUGCACUCAGUGAUCUAGCGCUUUGCACUCAGUGAUCU
This is a long non-coding RNA of Oncorhynchus tshawytscha (Chinook salmon), 1830 nucleotides long. The record is from Ensembl. NCBI's taxonomy places the organism in Eukaryota, Metazoa, Chordata, Actinopteri, Salmoniformes, Salmonidae.